This 394-nucleotide ribosomal RNA is filed under the name uncultured bacterium. Its description in RNAcentral is "bacterial SSU rRNA". It matches the Rfam family "Bacterial small subunit ribosomal RNA", at positions 29 to 402 of the family's 1533-position model. The record is from RNAcentral.
AACGAACGCUGGCGGCGUGCCUGAGACAUGCAAGUCGUGGGAGAAAGUCGGAGCAACCCGGCUAGUAAACCGGCGCACGGGUGAGUAACACGUGGACAACCUGCCUUGGAGUUCGGGAUAACCCGUCGAAAGACGGACUAAUACCGGAUAUGACCACGGGGAGUUCGCUCUCUGAGGUAAAAGAUGGCCUCUGCUCCUGCAAGCUAUCUCUUCGAGAGGGGUCCGCGUCCUAUCAGCUAGUUGGUGAGGUAACGGCUCACCAAGGCUAAGACGGGUAGCUGGUCUGAGAGGAUGGUCAGCCACACUGGGACUGAGACACGGCCCAGAGUCCUACGGGAUGCAGCAGUCAGGAAUAUUGCGCAAUGGAGGAAACUCUGACGCAGCGACGCCGCGU